Molecule: long non-coding RNA, 2705 nt
Filed under: Mytilus galloprovincialis (Mediterranean mussel)
Lineage: Eukaryota; Metazoa; Mollusca; Bivalvia; Mytilida; Mytilidae
Source: RNAcentral
AGAUCAACUAUAUUUGUUGUAUAGAAGAAUUGUUUGCUGUUCAUGCCUGCCUGGUAGGGUUCAUCUGACCUUGACCUCAUUUUCAUGGUUCAUUGAUCAAUGUUUAGUUUUUUUGGUUAAUGUUAAGUUUAUGUGACAGUUGUAAUAAAGCUUUAUAUUUAGGACUAUCAACAUAAAAUCAAUGAUUAGUAAAGAAGGCGAGACAUUUCAGCGUGUGCACUCUUGUUUGUUUAAGUUCUGUAACUUUGGUUUUCUUCGACAAAUUGUUAUGAAACUUGUACAUGAUGCUUUUUACCAUAAAAGUCAGAUCAAAUUGGAAUCUGGGUGGCGUCCCUGUAACAAUUCUCUAAGUUAUGUCCCUUUUACAGUUUUAAAGUUAUGUCCCUUUAUAAUGGUAUAUGCCAUAUGGGGUAUCAUCUGUGUCCCAUGGACAUGUUAUCCAUUUAUUUUAUAUACCACUACCAUCCUCAUUUAUUUUAUAUUGGUUGUAUGUACCUCUUACACUGGUCUGGAGAAUUCUUCAAUCUUUAUGGUGCUUAUAUUUUUACUUUUUCGUUAAAAUAGUACCAAAGGACACUUGUCCUUUUGCAAUAUUGUCCAAUCUUUACGGUGAUAAUUGAUGUUCAUUAAAAUAGUAUCAAAGCACAAAGGUCCUUGCGCAAUAUUGUCCAAUCUUUGAAUAAGUCCCAUGACUUUGCUCCAAGGUAAAAUAGUCUACGUUCAAAGAAUGUAACUCUAUGACUGACAAAACAAUACUAGAUCUGCAAAUUAUUAUUUGGUGCACUCAACCAAAAUUGGACUUGUUAGGAACCCAGGUGACCACAAGACCCCAGGCACAGGCACCUUACCUAUUUUUCAUAAAUAUGCCUAAAUGUUUCAAUCAUAGUUUUACUCAAAUACUUGCCAACACGAAAAAAAAACUGCAUAACAUACCGGUAAACAUUUUGAUAACAUAUGUGGCUUAGGUGCUAUACAUAUAAACCCAUUCUUUUGUUUUGAUGAUAUAUGUGGCUUAGGUGCUAUACAUAUAAACCAAUUCUUUAGUUGGGGAUUUUUUUUUUAUGAACUACUAAAUUUACAUUGGUUGUACCAUGUGUACGUACCUAUGACAAUUGAUAAACUUCUUACUAUGUGCAAUCUUUAUGGUCAUAAUGGCUAGUCAUUGAAAUAGUAUCAAAGGUCCCUACGCAAUAUUGUCCUAUCUGUAUGGUGCUGAUGACUUUUCUACAAAGUUGUACUGCUGUUUCUUGAUUGAAUUAUACUGCUGACUCAAUAUAUAGGUAAUGGAUCAAUUAUAAUUGUCAGUUGACAGUAAUUCUGACAUGAUUAGACCUUUUCAUGGUUUAUUCAUUAAAAUUUCAAGGAUUGGGGGCAGGGGCGGAUCCAGGAACUUAGGUUAGGGGGUGCAAACUUAAAUUGUUUCCAAGCGUAGCAAGGUGACAAAAAUGUUGAGGCAAAAUUAUAGAAAUAUUCUUUGUUAAGCUGAGGAAAAUCAAUGAUUUGCAAAUUUUAAAGAAGCACGCGGCCGUCACUCCCCCUCCAAAUCCACCCCUGUGGGAGAUCAGAUAACUACUACAUAUAUCUAACGUUAGUCUUGUAUGCUACUAGUACUGCAAUUUCACCCUUUGGUAAUAUAAGUUUAACUGACCUCACAAACUUUUAAUGAGGUACUUAUUUCUUCUUCAAGGAUGUUUGCUUGUCAUGUUUUGGAUUUUUUGUCAAAUUUUGGAAAUCCUCUGGUUUUAUCCAUUUGAAUGCCUUAAAAAAAAUUUGCCCAUGAAACCCCAUUUUCUUUUUAUAAAUCUUUUACAUGAUAAUUAUAAACCAUUUGUAAAAGUCUUAUAAAAUCUUAUUUAUUUUUUAAUAGUUUUGGAGAACUUUAACUGGGCAAUGAUAAAGCUAUGAAAAGUUAAGAGAGAACAUUUUCCCGCCAAAAUUCCACUGGCUAAUAUAUCAAAAACAAACAAAUUGACCCCUAUAUUUUUUUUGCUUUUUUGAUUCCUCAAUUAAUCCCCUAUCAAUAUAUACUAGUUUUAUGGAAAGUUAUUUAUUUUGAAACUGAGCAGCAAACAUCCUUAAGUGUAUGUUUAGUCCUCUCUAACUAUAUUGAUUAUAAAUCUUGAAUUUACCAGUUUUAAUUUGUUGUCAUACCAUUUUUAAAUCAUAAUUCAGGUACCAUUUUGAAAUAGAAUGAUAUAAGCUUAAACGGGCAUAAGCUUUGAUUAAGACAAAAAAAUAGAAUACAGUUCUUUUUAUUUCAAGUAUUAAUAUUAUUAUGAGUCUAUGAUUUGUAAAUGGUUUAUUUGAUACUUUUUUAUUCCUUGGACUUAUGUUUUAGUAUGUUAUAAAUCAAAUAUUUGAGUUUAUGCAAGUUUGAGUCAAAUCGUUGAUAAUGAAUUUAACAGCAAAUGCCCUUUUAGCUUAAAUGUUCUGUCUAGUAUUUUAACAUUAUUAUUGAAUUCAUGUUAAUUGUUUAUUUUGAAUUUUGGUUACUUGGAUAUGUACGUUUCAGUAUCUUAUAAAUCAAAUAUGGGAGUUUGAGUCAAAUCGGUGAUGAUGAAUUUAACAGCUAAUGCCCCUUUAACUAAAAGGUAUUUGUCAUCGUGUAAACUUUCAGUUAGAGUAUAGUUAUAUUUUAAUAUAUUGAUGUAUUUAUUUAUAUUUAGUAGAAUUUUAUACUUACAUUAUAAUUGUUUCAUAUUUGU